CCUACGGGAGGCAGCAGUGGGGAAUAUUGGGCAAUGGAGGAAACUCUGACCCAGCGACGCCGCGUGCGGGAUGAAGGCCUUCGGGUUGUAAACCGCUUUCAGUAGGGAAGAAGCGAAAGUGACGGUACCUACAAAAGAAGCACCGGCUAACUAUGUGCCAGCAGCCGCGGUAAUACAUAGGGUGCAAGCGUUGUCCGGAAUUAUUGGGCGUAAAGAGCUCGUAGGUCGUUUGUUACGUCGGAUGUGAAAACCUGAGGCUCAACCUCAGGCCUGCAUUCGAUACGGGCAAACUAGAGUUUGGUAGGGGAGACUGGAAUUCCUGGUGUAGCGGUGGAAUGCGCAGAUAUCAGGAGGAACACCAAUGGCGAAGGCAGGUCUCUGGGCCAAUACUGACACUGAGGAGCGAAAGUCUGGGGAGCGAACAGGAUUAGAUACCCUGGUAGUCCAGACCGUAAACGGUGGGCACUAGUUGUGGGAACCUUCCACGGUUUCUGCGACGCAGCUAACGCAUUAAGUGCCCCGCCUGGGGAGUACGAUCGCAAGAUUAAAACUCAAAGAUAGUAGCGNGNGAGAGCGACGACGACGACGACGGAGGAGGAG
This 600-nucleotide ribosomal RNA is filed under the name uncultured bacterium. RNAcentral describes it as "bacterial SSU rRNA". It matches the Rfam family "Bacterial small subunit ribosomal RNA", at positions 338 to 949 of the family's 1533-position model. The record is from RNAcentral.